GGAUGCGCUAAUGCUUCUUCAACUGCCACAGACAAAGCUUUUGUUUAGAAAGAAGGCAACAAUAUGAACAUUUUAGUUAAAAAUACACAAUUAUAUUUUAGCUUUAAGUGAUAGCAAGCAUAUCAAGACUCUUCAGCAGAGCAUAAACUUUUUCCUGGAGGGAGUUUGUGAUCAUCAAGUGCAAAACAAUCCUAGUAGUUGAAUACAUAUCCAACUGAGUCACAAAAUAUUCAUUUUUAGUUAAAUGCCACUAAGUGAAUUAUGGAACUUGCAAAUGAUUUUGUAGGU
This 288-nucleotide unclassified non-coding RNA is filed under the name Hevea brasiliensis (rubber tree). The record is from RNAcentral. Lineage: Eukaryota; Viridiplantae; Streptophyta; Magnoliopsida; Malpighiales; Euphorbiaceae.